UAAUACGAAGGGUGUGAGCGUUGUUCGGAUUUAUUGGGCGUAAAGCGCACGUAGGCGGAUUAAUAAGCCAGAUGUGAAAUCUCGGGGCUCAACCUCGAAACUGCGUCUGGAACUGUCAAUCUUGAAUAUUGGAGAGGGAAGGGGAAUUUCUCAUGUAGGGGUAAAAUCCGUAGAGAUGAGAAGGAACACCGGAGGCGAAAGCGCCUUCCUGGACAAUUAUUGACGCUGAGGUGCGAAAGCGUGGGGAGCAAACAGG
This 256-nucleotide ribosomal RNA is filed under the name uncultured bacterium. RNAcentral describes it as "partial 16S ribosomal RNA". It matches the Rfam family "Bacterial small subunit ribosomal RNA", at positions 521 to 776 of the family's 1533-position model. The record is from RNAcentral.